RNAcentral lists this ribosomal RNA (207 nucleotides) under uncultured bacterium. RNAcentral's name for it is "partial 16S ribosomal RNA". It matches the Rfam family "Bacterial small subunit ribosomal RNA", at positions 568 to 774 of the family's 1533-position model. The record is from RNAcentral.
AGCGUAGGCGGGAAAUUAAGUUAAGUGUGAAAGCCUUGGGCUUAACCCAAGAAAUGCACUUAAUACUGGUUUUCUAGAGUGUAGGAGAGGUAAGUGGAAUUCCUAGUGUAGCGGUAAAAUGCGUGGAUAUUAGGAGGAACACCAGAGGCGAAGGCGAAUUGCUGAACUGUAACUGACACUGAAGCACGAAAGCGUGGGGAGCAAACA